GGCUGUUCCCAGGGAUUUAGUCUGGGGGGACAACCCAUGGCGAGAUGUGGUGGCAUUUUACCUCAGAGUGGAGCUGAAGAUGGAUAAACAAGUUCUGGAGACCAGAAGGCCAAAAUCAAAAGUAUGGGCAGGCUUGAUUUCUUUAGAAGACUCCAGCGGAGAACUGUGUCUCCUUGCUUCUGAUUCUACAUCUCCAUCCAUGGGCCACUGUUUCAGCAACCUCAGCCAGUGCAACACAACCUCAGCCAAGAAGAGUAUGCAGAGAAAGGAGUCCCCUACCUGCCACAAAACUGUUGUCUGAAAACUGUCUCAUAUUGUCUCAAGUUGUCAUUCAUUGUGAAUUAGACCUGUUUAACAUGUAAUCUGCAACAUGCUUCACUGUCUAAUUUUCCAGAGCCCCUCAUAUAAGGAACUGUAUUAUUGGUAUAAUCAUCAUGGUGAAGAAGUUGGUAUGUGGGGGAGAGAUGACAGAAACAGAGAGUAAGUCAGAGCUGGCUGCCUGACAGAUAAAAAGGAAAUGACCAAAAAAAAAAAAAAAGACACAGAAGAAUACUUUGUUGUCCACACAGAAAAGGGAAGUGUAGGGCACCGAGGAAGAGAACCAAUGGCAGAGGCCACAUGUGCAAGCAAGAUGGGAGUCUGGAGAGCCUCAGGCUAAAUCACGAGUGCUCAGCCCUCUCCUCUUUGUAAGGGCAACCGGGUCAUAUCUGCCAGCAUAGAACUGCUCUGUCCACAGCCCUAAAAUCUAAUACCUAGAACAAUAAAUGCACUUAAGCACGUCAAACUCUCUCAACCAGUGAUGAAAUCUGUCACUAGCGAAGGGACUUGUCCCAAGGGAGCUGAACACCUGCCGCUGCACCCUGACAAUGUAUAAGAAACAAGCACCACUGUGGAUGCAGCCCCAGAGGCCUAGUGUCAUGGGGGUGCAAGGCCCUGCUUCAGGCUGGGGGCCUGGGGAGGGGCUGGUACCUCUCUACCUCCUGCAGCUCCUGUUCCUCUGGCUCCUGGUGAAAAUCUGGGUCUGAACCCAUAGCAAGUGAGGGCCACAAGGCUUCACCUUCUGAGAUGCAGCUAGAAGAAACAGCUGGUAUAAUAUAUGGUCAUGCACUACCUAACUACGUUUCCUCAACAUGGGACUGCAUAUAUGACAAUGGUCUGUCCCGUGAGAUUAUAAUAAAGCUGAAAAAUUUCUAUCACCCAGUCAUAUCAUAGCCAUAGUAAUGUCAAGGCCCAAGGUAUUGUGUGUCUGUGGUGAUGCCGGUGUAAACAAACUUGCCACACUGCCAGUCAUAUGAAUAGAGCACAAACAAUUAUGUAAUAUAUAGUACUUGAUCAAAAUACACAACUAUAUUUCUGGUUUAUGUAUUUACUAUACUAUACUUUUAAUCAUUAUUUUAGAGUGUACUCCUUCUGCAUCUAUGUGUCAACUGCAAAACAACCUCAGGCAGGUCCUUCAGGAGGUAUUCCAGAGGAAGGCAAUGUAAUCACAGAUGACAGCUCUAUGCAGGUUAUCACCCCUGAAGACCUUCUACUGGGACAAGAUGUGGAGGUAGAAGACAGUAAUAUUGAUGAUCCUGACCCUGUGUAAGCCUAGGCUAAUGCAUAUGUGUGCUGUGUCUUAGUUUUUACCAAAAAGUUUAAAAAGUAAAAUAAAAAUAGGAAAUAGCUUAUGGAAUAAGGAUAUAAAGAAACCAUUUUUGUACAGCUGUACAUGUGUUUGUGUUUUCAGCUGUGUUAUUACAAAAAGGUCAAACUUUAAAAAUAAACAAGUUUAUAAAGUAAAAAGAUUUCAGUAAAGUACAGUAAGGUUAAUUUAUGGUUGAAGAAAAACAUUUUAAAAAUAAAUUUAGUGUAGCCUAAGUGUCCAGUGUUUCUAAAGUCUACAGUAGCGUGCAGUCAUGUCCUAGGCCUUCACGUUCACUCACCACUCACUCACUGACUCACCCAGAGCAAAUUCCUGUCCUGCAAGCUCCAUUCAUGGUAAGUGCCCUACACAGGUGUACCAUUUUAACCUUUUACAUCAUAUUUUUAUUGUACUUUAAACAUAUCUACAUUUACAUGUUUAGAUACAUAGGUGUUUACCAUUGUGCUACAAUUGCCUAUGGUAUUCAGUACAGUAACACGCUGUACAGGUUUGUAGCCUAGGAGUGAUAGCCUAUACCAUACAGACUAGGUGUGGUAGGUUGUACCAUCUAGGUUUAAGUAAGUAUACUCUAUGAUGUUCCCACAACAACAGAAUUGCUGAAUGAAGCAUUUCUCAGAAUAUAUCCCCAUGGUUAAGCAACCAAUGAGUGUAUUUUCUGUCUACCUUUCACCUCCAUAAUAUAUAUAUUUUUCUACAUUUCUCAUGGUAGAGGGAAAGAGCAACAGGACUUCCAGAAAAAAAACUAAUGUGUCUUCAGACUUCUGCUUGUAUGUGGCUCAUGUUAUAUCUGAGCGUAUGCUACUGGACAAAGUGAGUCACAUAGCCAAGGCUUACAAUGGGAUGGGGAAGCAUACUUCAUUUCUGUGAAGGCACUCUAAGUCACAUGGCAUCAGUGGGGUCAUCUUGUUCUUUUAUAGUGAAGAGGGGAGUAAAUAAUAGAGGACAAUAAUACAGUCCACCAAAGAUACUGAGGCCAAUUAUAUCCAAAAAGCAAGAUCAGUUUGGUGGAAUGACUUACUAAUGCACUGAGAUGCCCAUAUGCCCAUAUUCCCUGCCAAACAGUCUAAAUGGAAAACUAGAAUCCUAAUUAAAAUGAGAAAAGGCGUGUCACAAAGCUUCCUUUAUUGUAGAGCAGUUGAGUUGUGAUGUUCGUUACUAGAUUUUUUUUAUUAGCCUGUUGUUAGUUGUAUGUAUGCCUUCUAUUUAUUAAGCACUUAUUAUGAGCCAAGCAUAGUAGUAAACCUUUUUCUGACCUUAUUUAAACCUAUCAACAGUCUCAAGUUGGAACUAGGUCUCUUUCCAUUUACAGAUAAAAAUAUUAAAGGACAGAAUAACUAAGCAACUUGCCCAAAGUCACAGGUCCCUGCUCUUAUCUGCUAUAUUUUCUUUCUCUAUUUUUCUUUUUCGUGUAAUACAGAAAGCCCAUGAUCAUCCUGAUGCCUCCUCUGUGUGGAUAUCGCAGGAAUGGCAACUUACGACCUUAUGAAGUAGUUUAUUCUAAUUUAGGGUAGCUCAAAUUACUAGAACAAAUAUUUAAUGGGCCUUUAAUCUUCUACCCCUAAAAUUUUUUCCAGUUGGUUCUAGUUUUAUCUUAUGGAGCUAAAUGUAUGGAAAAUGAUUCAAAGAACCUUCCUUCAAGUAGUAGAAAUCAUCUUCUAGAUUUUAUCUUUCCCAAUCUAAAAAUACAUUGUUGUUUCAACAAUUCCAUGAAUAACAUGGAUUGUGGAUUUUUAUCAUCCUGGUUACUUUUCUCUUGGACUGCCAAACAUUUAAGUGCGGAACAAGAACUGUCUGCAAUAAAACAUAAUGAA
This is a long non-coding RNA of Homo sapiens (human), 3456 nucleotides long. Ensembl annotates it as cancer susceptibility 15. Its record names the gene CASC15. The record is from Ensembl. NCBI's taxonomy places the organism in Eukaryota, Metazoa, Chordata, Mammalia, Primates, Hominidae.